AGUGAACGCUGGCGGUAGGCCUAACACAUGCAAGUCGAACGGCAGCACAGUAAGAGCUUGCUCUUACGGGUGGCGAGUGGCGGACGGGUGAGGAAUACAUCGGAAUCUACUUUUUCGUGGGGGAUAACGCAGGGAAACUUACGCUAAUACCGCAUACGACCUACGGGUGAAAGCAGGGGAUCUUCGGACCUUGCGCGAUUGAAUGAGCCGAUGUCGGAUUAGCUAGUUGGCGGGGUAAAGGCCCACCAAGGCGACGAUCCGUAGCUGGUCUGAGAGGAUGAUCAGCCACACUGGAACUGAGACACGGUCCAGACUCCUACGGGAGGCAGCAGUGGGGAAUAUUGGACAAUGGGCGCAAGCCUGAUCCAGCUAUACCGCGUGGGUGAAGAAGGCCUUCGGGUUGUAAAGCCCUUUUGUUGGGAAAGAAAAGCAGCAGGUUAAUACCCCGCUGUUCUGACGGUACCCAAAGAAUAAGCACCGGCUAACUUCGUG
RNAcentral lists this ribosomal RNA (492 nucleotides) under uncultured bacterium. Its description in RNAcentral is "partial 16S ribosomal RNA". It matches the Rfam family "Bacterial small subunit ribosomal RNA", at positions 29 to 507 of the family's 1533-position model. The record is from RNAcentral.